This 356-nucleotide long non-coding RNA is filed under the name Setaria viridis. Its description in RNAcentral is "long non-coding RNA (SVIR_LNC004134)". The record is from RNAcentral. Lineage: Eukaryota; Viridiplantae; Streptophyta; Magnoliopsida; Poales; Poaceae.
AACAAUUCAUGGCGUGGAGAUUCCAGCUCGCAGUUAUGCUAAAGUUGGAUGGACUGAGUGGUCAACUGUUGGGAUGACCUGGAACUGGAGAUCCAUAGAGGUGAUGGGGAAAAGAAUAGGAGAAGCCAUCCAUGGUUGGAUUCUAUGGCCCAAGCGCUACAUAAGGAUUAUGCAUUCGUAUCCCCCGACCUUGGGAUCAUCUCCUCAAGGCUCAAGGGCAAGAUCACCUAUGCCAUCUGCUAGGGCACCCUCUCCACUACCAUAUAGGGAUCCUAGCAUGAGUCCACGAGCAGACAGGGAUCCUAGCAUGAGUCCAUGCUCUCCACCAGCUAAUAGGGAUCCUAGUAUGAGUCCAC